RNAcentral lists this ribosomal RNA (253 nucleotides) under uncultured bacterium. Its description in RNAcentral is "partial 16S ribosomal RNA". It matches the Rfam family "Bacterial small subunit ribosomal RNA", at positions 524 to 776 of the family's 1533-position model. The record is from RNAcentral.
GACGUAGGUGGCGAACGUUAUCCGGAAUUAUUGGGCGUAAAGAGCGUGUAGGCGGCCAGGUAGGUCUGCUGUGAAAACUCGAGGCUCAACCUCGAGACGUCGGCGGAAACCAUCUGGCUAGAGUCCGGAAGAGGAGAGUGGAAUUCCUGGUGUAGCGGUGAAAUGCGCAGAUAUCAGGAAGAACACCCGUGGCGAAGGCGGCUCUCUGGGACGGUACUGACGCUGAGACGCGAAAGCGUGGGGAGCGAACAGG